ACUGACCAGUGAGUGGGUUAGUGAGAGACUGACCAGUGAGUGGGUUAGUGAGAAACUGACCAGUGAGUGGGUUAGUGAGUGACUGAUUAGUGAGAGACUGACCAGUGAGUGGGUUAGUGAGAAACUGACCAGUGAGUGGGUUAGUGAGUGACUGAUUAGUGAGAGACUGACCAGUGAGUGGGUUAGUGAGAGACUGACCAGUGAGUGGGUUAGUGAGAAACUGACCAGUGAGUGGGUUACUGAGUGACUGAUUAGUGAGAGACUGACCAGUGAGUGGGUUAGUGAGAAACUGACCAGUGAGUGGGUUAGUGAGAGACUGAUUAGUGAGGGAAAUUCUGACCAGUGAGUGGGUUAGUGAGAGACUGAUUAGUGAGGGAAAUUCUGACCAGUGAGUGGGUUAGUGAGUGACUGAUUAGUGAGGGAAAUUCUGACCAGUGAGUGGGUUAGUGAGAGACUGAUUAGUGAGGGAAAUUCUGACCAGUGAGUGGGUUAGUGAGAGACUGAUUAGUGAGAGGGUCAGUGAGUGAGACUCCAUAUAGUGAAAGGGUCAGUAAGUGAGAGACUGCAGCUGGUGAGAAAGAGUCCUGCUAGUGAGAGGGUCAGUAAGAGACUGUUUGAGACUGCUGCCAGAGGCAGGAUGAGACUGAGGUUGGUACCAUAUGAACCCAUGGCUAUUUAUCAAGCUCCAACUUAUGUGUCACUCACACUGGAAGGAUUUCCUGCCCCGCCGCAGUCCUGCACAGGAAGUACACGGUGCAAGUGCAGCAGGAAGUGGGUGACGCUUCUCCCCAGCAGCCCAGAGCCCACUGAGCAUGUGCAAAAAAAGAUGGCCUAACAAGAUUCAAGAUGGGGGGCUGCUGGGGCAACUGUGAAGGCCUGGAUCUUUCCUGUUAUCGGGCUGCUGCAGUACAGUAAAGACCAACUUGCCCCAUGACCAAUCAGGUUGUGUGUGAAUGGCUCUAUUUCAGAAGAGAUGAAUACAAAGAAUCCAACUGUUACUUUCCAUAUCCAAUCCUCUUGGUAGUGAGAGCCAUGUGGGUCUCCAUGGACGUAGCAGUAGCCAGCCUAGUGAGUGAGCCUUGGGUGUACACUCUCUCUACUCCCUCUCAGUAUGUAUCUAUAGCUUAUGUACCAGGAGCACCUGAGAAUGUAGGGAGUAACUUUCUCCUGACCCGUAACCUGCUGGACUCUAUGCAGUUUGGGUUUGUGACCUGCACGCUCUAUUGAGACUAAUACAAAUGAUCUCCAGAUUGGAAAGGCCAAAGGAUACGUCUCUGUCUCAUUCUCCUGGAUUUAUCUUCUGCUUUUAAUAUUUACUACCAUUCUCCGUCCCUGUGGAACUCCAUCCCUGAAGUCCUCGCCAGGCACAAAACCACUUACGAUUGAGCCAAUAAUUGUGAGUUUUGUAGCUGAGCGAUAAUGAAAGUGCUGACGGCGAGUGACACAACUUGGCUGCUCAAGAAGCCAUGUUAGUUGCAAUAUGUGAUGAUAACUGGGACCUCAGCCAGGAGAAUGAAUCCCUGCUUGGCCUUCUGAAAUGGUUCCUUUGGUGUCUUUGUGUUUCCCCCUCUCUCACUGAUCCAUAUCCUUGCAGCCUUUUUCCUGAGGUUCUCCCAGUCCCCCCUCUCUAACUGACAUCCAUAACCUUCCAACUUCUUUCCCAAGUUCCCUACCUCUCCCACCAAUAUCCAGCCCUUGCAUGUCUCUUCUCCAUUGCCCUCCCACUCCUCCUUCGUAUAGAUGACCUUACCAAUACAGUUCCUUCCACAAGGCCCCCACUUGUCCUACUUCUACCAAAGUCUGUAUGUCAGGAACUGCAGGGAAUCGAACCCUGGACUUGGUGCUGGACUGCUGGUGCACUAGCUUAAUGAGCCACAGGAGGCUCUUUGAGCUACGUGGGGUCUGUUGCCCUUAUGUGCUUUUGACAUCGCUACCCAUUUUCCUUCAGUCUCAACCAAUCCUGUUUAUCACAUGUGUUGCUGUUUUAGUAAUCACCAACCUAUAUAAACCCCCUCCGUGUAGUGCUGGGCGGUAUGACCAAAAAUUUAUAUCACGGUAUUUUUCAAAAUUAUAUCGGUAUCACGGUAU
Xenopus tropicalis (tropical clawed frog) is the source of this 2088-nucleotide long non-coding RNA. RefSeq lists it as uncharacterized. Lineage: Eukaryota; Metazoa; Chordata; Amphibia; Anura; Pipidae. The record is from RefSeq and is a predicted model, not a curated record. The transcript is spliced from 3 exons.